This 253-nucleotide ribosomal RNA is filed under the name uncultured bacterium. Its description in RNAcentral is "partial 16S ribosomal RNA". It matches the Rfam family "Bacterial small subunit ribosomal RNA", at positions 524 to 776 of the family's 1533-position model. The record is from RNAcentral.
UACAGAGGGGGCGAGCGUUAUUCGGAAUUACUGGGCGUAAAGCGCACGUAGGCGGAUCAGUUAGUCGGGGGUGAAAUCCCGGGGCUCAACCCCGGAACUGCCUUCGAUACUGCUGGUCUGGAGGUCGAGAGAGGCGAGUGGAAUUCCGAGUGUAGAGGUGAAAUUCGUAGAUAUUCGGAGGAACACCAGUGGCGAAGGCGGCUCGCUGGCUCGAUACUGACGCUGAGGUGCGAAAGCGUGGGGAGCAAACAGG